RNAcentral lists this transfer RNA (58 nucleotides) under Fukomys damarensis (Damara mole-rat). It matches the Rfam family "tRNA", at positions 8 to 63 of the family's 71-position model. From Rfam's summary of the family: Transfer RNA (tRNA) molecules are approximately 80 nucleotides in length. The record is from Rfam by way of RNAcentral. Lineage: Eukaryota; Metazoa; Chordata; Mammalia; Rodentia; Bathyergidae.
UAGCUCAGUGGUAGAGCAUGUGUUUAGCACAUACAAGGGCCCUAGGUUCAAUUCCCAG